UCGACCUCAAUGACAUCAAGAUCGUGAAGAAG
This 32-nucleotide transfer RNA is filed under the name Scrippsiella hangoei. Its description in RNAcentral is "partial Selenocysteine transfer RNA". Lineage: Eukaryota; Dinophyceae; Peridiniales; Peridiniaceae. The record is from RNAcentral.